UUGCCAUGGGGGAACCCUGAUGCAGCCAUGCCGCGUGUGUGAAGAAGGCCUUCGGGUUGUAAAGCACUUUCAGCGAGGAGGAAAGGUUGGUAGCUAAUAACUGCCAGCUGUGACGUUACUCGCAGAAGAAGCACCGGCUAACUCCGUGCCAGCAGCCGCGGUAAUACGGAGGGUGCAAGCGUUAAUCGGAAUUACUGGGCGUAAAGCGCACGCAGGCGGUUGGAUAAGUUAGAUGUGAAAGCCCCGGGCUCAACCUGGGAAUUGCAUUUAAAACUGUCCAGCUAGAGUCUUGUAGAGGGGGGUAGAAUUCC
Molecule: ribosomal RNA, 311 nt
Filed under: uncultured bacterium
Lineage: Bacteria
Description: bacterial SSU rRNA
Rfam family: Bacterial small subunit ribosomal RNA
Source: RNAcentral